GCCCUUCCUAACAUCAACCAUUUUGUUAUUAUAUAGAUUAUAUAUAUAUAUAAUUUAUUUGUAAAUAACUUUGGUUGGGGUGAUCAAGGAAUAAAAUUAAUUUAAAAUGUUGUAUUAAGUUGCUUAAUUUUUAUGUUAGUUGAAGAAUAAAACAGGUGUCUUGGUGUAGAGGA
Molecule: long non-coding RNA, 173 nt
Organism: Octopus sinensis (East Asian common octopus)
Lineage: Eukaryota; Metazoa; Mollusca; Cephalopoda; Octopoda; Octopodidae
Exons: 5
Source: RefSeq, a predicted model, not a curated record